GGCAACAACAAGCAAUGCGAUUGGUCCCAUCAACCAUCGCUCCUGAUGAUUUAACAGCGUGGUUACCAUCUAACUGCGCCUCUGAUUGGACAAUAGUCAUGCACCACUGAGCGCUAAACCCUCACACCCCAUGCUUAGCCAAGGGGUCAAUGUGAUCAGGUGCCCUGUGACGUGCGCAGGCGCAGGGCUACGGCCGGUGGUUGCGCGUGGCGUUGUCCGGCUUGGAGCUUGAGUCCCCGCAGAGCCGGGCAGCCUCGCCGGGGACCCCGGUCCCAGCCCUGCCGGCAGCCUCGGCGCGGCCGCGCGUGACCUCCGCACGCCAGCAGCCGCCGGGCCCUGCGCCGUUCGGGGCGUGUCACUCCGCGACAGACACCGCCGUGGCGUCCCGCCGCCGCGGCACAGCGCAGAUCAGCUUCGCGGCCGCGCGCCGGGUUUCCGAGCUAAUCCCGUGGUUAUGACCCGGACCUAGGUUAAAAAUAAGUGCACCCUAGUCCCCAAGCUCCUUUGGUACAUUCACCUGUAGCUUCCAGACCCUCAUCUGGUGAAGCUCACAAAAAUACCAGGUCUGCUGUCCACAAGGGAAACAGUGUACAUACCAACUUGUAUGAUUCAACUCAGGAUCAGCAGGUUGCUUAACAUCACAGCACUUAGAUGUAUUUAUAGUGAAAAUGGAUAAAUUUAUUACCAAAAGGUUCAAGAUUCAAGAGAUAGUGAGUAAGGAUAAUGGAAAUAAAAGGUUUCAGAGUAGCAGCUGUGUUACUUGUAUCCGCAAAAAGAAAAUGAGUAUUUGUGGCACCUUAGAGACUAACAAAUGUAUUUGAGCAUAAGCUUUUGUGAACUAGAGCUCACUUCAUCGGAUGCAUGCAGUGGAAAAUACAGUGGGGAGAUUUUAUAUACCCAGAGAAUAUGAAACAAUGGGUGUUACCAUAUACACUGUAACGAGAAAAGGAGUCCAUCUUUGUGUGGAAUGUUGGUGUAGAGAGCGUCUAUAUCCAUAGUGGCUAGGAUGGUGUUUUCAGGAAGAUCACCUGCUGAAGUGAAGAAACAGAUUCACAGAGCCAGAAGAGUACCCAGAAGUUACCUACUACAGGACAGGCCCAACAAAGAAAAUAACAGAAUGCCACUAGCCAUCACCUUCAGCCCCCAACUAAAACCUCUCCAACGCAUCAUCAAGGAUCUACAACCUAUCCUGAAGGACAGCCCUCACUCUCACAGAUCUUGGGAGACAGGCCAGUCCCUGCUUCCAGACAGCCCCCCAACCUGAUGCAAAUACUCACCUGCAACCACACAACAGAACCACUAACUCAGGAACCUAUCCUUGCAACAAAGCCCGUUGCCAACUGUGGCCACAUAUUUAUUCAGGGGACACCAUCAUAGGGCCUAAUCGUAUCAGCCACAUCUAUCAGAGGCUCGUUCACCUGCACAUCUGUCAAUGUGAUAUAUGCAAUCAUGUGCCAGCGAUGUUCCUCUGCCAUGUACAUUGGCCAAACUGGACAGUCUCUACGUAAAAGGAAUAAAUGGACACAAAUCAGACGUCAAGAAUUAUAACAUUCAAAAACCAGUCGGAGAACAUUUCAAUCUCUCUGGUCACUCGAUUACAGACCUAAAAGUGGCAAUUCUUCAACAAAAAAACAGACUCCAAUGAGAGACUGCUGAAUUGGAAUUAAUUUGCAAACUGGACACCAUUAACUUAGGCUUGAAUAAAGACUGGGAGUGGAUGUGUCAUUACACAAAGUAAUACUAUUUCUCCAUGUUUUUCCCCGCACACACACUGUUCCUCGGACGUUCUUGUCAACUGCUGGAAAUGGCCCACCUUGAUUAACACUACAAAAGGUUUUUUUUUUCUCUCCUGCUGGUAAUAGCUCACCUUACCUGAUCACUCGAAGUGAGCUGUAGCUCAUGAAAGUUUAUGGUCAAAUAAAUUUGUUAGUCUCUAAGGUGCCUCAAGUACUCCUUUUCUCAUUACAAUGUGUAUGGUAACACCCAUAGUUUCAUAUUCUCUGGGUAUAUAAAAUCUCCCCACUGUAUUUUCCACUGCAUGCAUCCGAUGAAGUGAGCUGAAAGCUUAUGCUCAAAUAAAUUGGUUAGUCUCUAAGGUGCCACAAGUACUCUUUUUUUGGAAAUAAAAGGUUACAUAUAAAACAAAAUCAUAACAUGCUUUCUGGAAACGAAACUUAACAGGCUAACCUCCUGUCCAAAGAAUUCUUAUCUCACCCAAAGUCUUCUGCAGCAUUUCCAACCAAGGCUGGUUUAGAUCCCAUUUUCAUGAAUGUAAACACAUUGCCUGUUUACUUCCUAGCUGCAAGAUGAUGGAAUGUCUUCUUUGUUCUGCAAAUAUACCUUUGAAAUUGUG
Long non-coding RNA from Caretta caretta (loggerhead turtle), 2353 nucleotides. RefSeq lists it as uncharacterized. Lineage: Eukaryota; Metazoa; Chordata; Testudines; Cheloniidae. The record is from RefSeq and is a predicted model, not a curated record.